Cairina moschata (Muscovy duck) is the source of this 4066-nucleotide long non-coding RNA. The record is from Ensembl. Lineage: Eukaryota; Metazoa; Chordata; Aves; Anseriformes; Anatidae.
AAGGAUGGAAAAGUACAUGUAUGUGGUCUGAAAGCCUGCAAAAUAAGGCAAGUAGGAAAGAGUCUGGUGUGGAGGUUCACUCGGAAUAUGUGUCUGUUCAGGAACAUCAACUGCCAGUGCAAUGACAACCUGGAAACCGAAACGCCGUACACCUUUGAUCAAGAAGCCGCAGUGCUCCCCGAAAUGUGGGAUGCUAUGCAAACCCAGCAACUCAAGGUGGUGGAACUAAAACCAGAAACAAAGGACUACAGAGAGGCGGCAGAAAGGUUUCUGAAGACCACUCGGCUUCUAAAACAUGAAAAGGUAUUUCAUGUGAUGCUUAUGACCUUCAAACCUGUUGCAAAAUAUUUCCACUCUCAAGAAGAAGCUGCUUGCUUCUGGCACCAAGACUUAGGAUGCUGAAAACAUACCAAGUAAGGUGAUUUUAAUGGAAGUGCCUGCGUGUAUGGUCUCUGUUCAGGUAGCUACUAUGCAUUUUUCUCUUCUGCUUAUUCAAGUGUAAAAACUUAGCAGGCAGAGGUUGAUUCCCUAUCCAGAAACAAGGGAAAAGCAAUUUGCUAAUGAAGGCUGCUAUUGCUUAGGUCUACACAAAUACUCUUCCUAAAAAACUUCCUGUUUGAGCAUUACUGACUGUUUGCUUCUGGUGGCGUAGAAGCAUGUGCCAGACUGUUUGCCAGUGUGAUAAUCCUCAAGAGAUUACCCCUGAUUUGAGCUGCCCUGAUGAUGUGAAGCCAGUUUUGACAUGAUGUUGGUAUCCAGUAAAUUUUUUACAGUCAAGCUAUUAGCUUCAAGCAUUAGCUACUCCUGAAGUGACAAGGCUACAUACCUCCGCAUGUAAGUGUCACUUUUGCAUAGGCAUCAACUACUCAACAGUCAAGUUACAUGAGAGGUUAUUCGGGACGUUUCCCCAAAGAAUAAGAGAUCAGUGGCAGUAAUGCCAUCUGUUUUACCAAUUUUAAUCAGCAUCAAUUUGAUGCUGCAUCAAGUUAAGGUAUCUGGAGCAAGUCUUAAGCAAUUGCUUCUGAAGUUUCAUUAGAUCACUUUUGCUACAGUAGAGCAGAGCAUCUGCUGCCUUAACCCAUAUGUGCUUGGCAGGUGGGUGUUUUGCAGGUUUCUGGGUCAUACACAAAACUAUCCCACGUUAUUUCCCUGUUGCAUUUUGGGUUGGGUAAUGCUGUCUGUUGUGCUGAAGUCUGGAGUGAUGUGCCUAACUUAUUUUAUAAGGUAGCCUACAUGUGUUGUAGCUAGGAGUAGAAUCUUGGAGCACUGAAUUGUUGAUACACUGAUGCUUUUUAUGACAACAAGCUAAAAAAAAAAAGUCUUAAUUUCAAACUCUGCAGAUUGAAAGGGUACAGAACCCAUUUUUGUGGAAGACCUAACAAAUAAAAAAGCAUCACAUGGCUGAGAAAAAUGUCAGUGGAGAUAAUGAGAAGCUUUUGUGUCAUGGAACAAGUCAUUAACCUUAAUUAACAACUCUGGAUUUAAUCGGAGCUAUGUUGGAAUGCAUAAUAAUGUGAAUUUCAACACUGCUUGUUUCCUUGAACUGGUCUAGGAAUAACUCAUGUCCUUUGUGUAGUCUUGCCUUGUAUGCAAAAUGUUCUAUUUUGUUAAAUCUCCCUAUUGCCAUCAUUACAGCCUGUGAAUCUCUUGGCAGAUAAGUGAUUGUUAUUAAUGAAAUACAUUUUUUUUUUCUGACUAUAGCUGCAAACUUUGGAAAUGGAAUGAACUUUGCUGUUAAUGCCAGCUAUUCUGCCCACAACAUCUAUUAUAAACCAGAUGUGGAUGGAAAGAAAUACAUGCACAUGGCUCGAGUACUUGUUGGAGAAUGUUCUCAAGAGACAAGAGGAUCAAUUACUCCAGCAGCAAAAAGUGCUAGCAACUCCAUGGAUCUGUUUGAUAGCUCAACUGAUAACGUAAACAAUCCAUCCAUGUUUAUCAUAUUUAAUGAUAUUCAAGCUUACCCAGAAUACCUUAUCACUUUCACUAGAUGAGCAUUUUGAUUGCAGCCACGUUUGCAUGUCUCUUCAUUUUAUAAAUCUGUCCUGCACAUUAAUACAUAUAUAUAUAUGUACACAUAUAUAUAUGUAUAUAUAUAUGUGUGUAUAUACAUAUAUAUAUAUCAGUGAAAACAAGUAGUUUUAUCAAAUUAAUUUUUUAAAGCUUGUUUAUAUUUAAGCAACCUUUGGCAAUUUUUGAUAGCACUGCCAUAGACUACUUUUUUCCACUUGGAGCAGUUGAACCUAUCUAACAGGAGUUCAAUUUGACAUGUAACCUAACCGUAGUUUUCAGUAGAAAUCCUACACCUGUCCACCCCCUUUAUAAUAUCUUGGCCUUUCCAUGCAGCAUCCCGGCCAUCCUAGUUGCAACAAAGAGUGGGUAGUGCUGUUGGGGGAUUGAAAGACAUUCUCUCAACCACUGACUGCAUGGUGUUGCAUUUCUGAUAGAGUAUGAGAAGCUAUCAUAAAUUAUAACGCUGACUGUCAUUUACUGUGGGUUUCAAUAAAUGAACUAAUUGUAGUUAAUGGCUUGUGUUUAUCUAAAACAAUCUCUCGAGAUAUUUAGCAUUGGUUUUCAAAAGUUCAAUAACAGGCAGCUACUUGGGGAAUGAAGUCUCUAAUAUGGCGUUGCUUGAUUUUAAUAUGAUAGCCCUCCUGGGCACGUCAGUAAGAGGAUUUGUAAACCUCACCCAACUUCUGCAAUUAGUUAAUACCCAAGCUAAUUAGGUAUAGCCGAAGAGAGCCAUGAAAAUAAGUGUAAGGAAGGUGUCCCUGCUCUUGUACGCUACCUGUAGUGCCCUUCCUGUGAUCUUAAGGAGAAAAGAACAGGGCAAAGAAAGGCAAGGGGUGCGUGUGUUGGAAAAGGGGGGGNNNNNGGUUUGUUUGUGUGUUUGUUUGGUUGGGCUAAGGACUUUUUGACAAGGCUUGAGGAAAUAGUUUAUUUCAACGAGGUAAUGAUUAACCAAGCCAAAGUUCAGAGUUUCAUUGGGAGUGGGGGGAGAAUCAGAGCAAUAUAAUUUCUGUAGCAUAUUGACAAUAAAAUAAAUACUUUGAACAGCAUCAGGUGUCAUGAGGUCAACUGAGAAAGCAGAGUGCUGCAGCACCUCCAACUUUUUAGCAGUUCUUGGCUCUGCUGAAUUUAUCAGGUUUGUCUUGUUAUUCGUUUGGAUGAUUAGGAGACAAUUAUCAAUUACUUCUUUUUAAUAGGUUGCUACUAGUUGAAAGUUUUUGCUAAUAUAUUUUUCAUAUGUCCCCAGCAGUCAUUCAAAAAUGAAGCUUCAUGUGGGGUUCUGAAAGUGACUAGCUUUCCUCCAGUGUUAUUAAGGGCUUAUUAAGAUUUUAUUAAGAAUUAAUACUGUUUUGCAGGUUGAAAGGAUAUGUAUUUAUCUCUGGUUAAAGAGAGUAAUGCAGUUAACUAAACAGUGCUCAAAAAACCCUCGAGUGUGUGCGGCUUACAACACCAGCACUCGCAGCCUGUCUUGGCUAUGAUAUAAACUCUUUUCACGUUGCAAUUUUUCUUCAGUCUUUCAAACUUGCACUUUUUAUACUUGCAGAGGUGGGGACACUUCCUGCACUUCAGAAGACUGGAAAAACUUUGCCCAUUACUGGAUGUGCAAUAACUCAGUGGCUCUUAACUGGAAAACAUUCCUUUUCAAGGCCCAAGUGUGGGACCUUGAAGAAGAUAACUCCAGCUGUAGCGAUGUGAGGGAGGUUAUGGCGUUAGUGAAGAAAAACAAGUCCGGGUGAAGGAAAAGCCUUGCAAGCGUAGCAGCGAGGAACAGCGUGCCCCUUUCUCAGGGGGAGGCUGUGGGGGGUUGUACAGGUGCAGGCUCAGGAGCUCACUGUGAGCAGUCACCAAGGGCAAAGUGCCAGGGGCCCAAAUGCCUGAAGUUUCCCUUUCGAAGCCAAGAGACUUAAAGAAAGAUCUCUUAGAAAUGCAGGCGGUCGCUGUCUCAGCAGCGUGACAGGUGCCAGGGUUAACAGCCCUGGAGCAACUCGUUUAUGGUGGUGAAACGCAAGUUUUGUGAUUCUGACCAUGCCUGAGGCGCGCUGUGGGUGAAGGCGCAGGG